This 412-nucleotide ribosomal RNA is filed under the name uncultured bacterium. Its description in RNAcentral is "bacterial SSU rRNA". It matches the Rfam family "Bacterial small subunit ribosomal RNA", at positions 78 to 524 of the family's 1533-position model. The record is from RNAcentral.
GAACGCGCCGCCCGGGUUAUAACAGACGGGUGAGUAACACGUGGGAACGUACCCUUUGGUUCGGAACAACCCUGGGAAACUAGGGCUAAUACCGGAUACGCGCGAGAGCGGAAAGGUUUACCGCCGAAGGAUCGGCCCGCGUCUGAUUAGCUAGUUGGUGAGGUAACGGCUCACCAAGGCGACGAUCAGUAGCUGGUCUGAGAGGAUGAUCAGCCACAUUGGGACUGAGACACGGCCCAAACUCCUACGGGAGGCAGCAGUGGGGAAUAUUGGACAAUGGGCGCAAGCCUGAUCCAGCCAUGCCGCGUGAGUGAUGACGGCCCUAGGGUUGUAAAGCUCUUUUACCUGGGAAGAUAAUGACGGUACCAGGAGAAUAAGCCCCGGCUAACUUCGUGCCAGCAGCCGCGGUAAU